GACGAACGCUGGCGGCGUGCUUAACACAUGCAAGUCGAACGGAAAGGCCCUGCUUUUGUGGGGUGCUCGAGUGGCGAACGGGUGAGUAGCACGUGAGUAACCUGCCCUUGACUUUGGGAUAACUUCAGGAAACUGGGGCUAAUACCGGAUAGGAGCUCCUGCUGCAUGGUGGGGGUUGGAAAGUUUCGGCGGUUGGGGAUGGACUCGCGGCUUAUCAGCUUGUUGGUGGGGUAGUGGCUUACCAAGGCUUUGACGGGUAGCCGGCCUGAGAGGGUGACCGGCCACCUGGGGCCUGAGGUACGGAGCAGUAUCGUAUGGGAGGCAGCAGGGGGGAAUAUUGCGGAGUGGGCGGAAGCCUGAUGCAGCAACGCCGCGAGCGGGAUGAUGGCCUACGAGGUGUAAACCGCUUUGGCCGGAGACGAAGCGGGAGUGACGGUAACGGGUAAGGAAGCACCGGCUAACUACGUG
RNAcentral lists this ribosomal RNA (468 nucleotides) under uncultured bacterium. RNAcentral describes it as "partial 16S ribosomal RNA". It matches the Rfam family "Bacterial small subunit ribosomal RNA", at positions 28 to 507 of the family's 1533-position model. The record is from RNAcentral.